RNAcentral lists this ribosomal RNA (734 nucleotides) under Achromobacter sp. RNAcentral's name for it is "bacterial SSU rRNA". It matches the Rfam family "Bacterial small subunit ribosomal RNA", at positions 28 to 757 of the family's 1533-position model. The record is from RNAcentral. Lineage: Bacteria; Pseudomonadati; Pseudomonadota; Betaproteobacteria; Burkholderiales; Alcaligenaceae.
AUUGAACGCUAGCGGGAUGCCUUACACAUGCAAGUCGAACGGCAGCACGGACUUCGGUCUGGUGGCGAGUGGCGAACGGGUGAGUAAUGUAUCGGAACGUGCCUAGUAGCGGGGGAUAACUACGCGAAAGCGUAGCUAAUACCGCAUACGCCCUACGGGGGAAAGCAGGGGAUCGUAAGACCUUGCACUAUUAGAGCGGCCGAUAUCGGAUUAGCUAGUUGGUGGGGUAACGGCUCACCAAGGCGACGAUCCGUAGCUGGUUUGAGAGGACGACCAGCCACACUGGGACUGAGACACGGCCCAGACUCCUACGGGAGGCAGCAGUGGGGAAUUUUGGACAAUGGGGGAAACCCUGAUCCAGCCAUCCCGCGUGUGCGAUGAAGGCCUUCGGGUUGUAAAGCACUUUUGGCAGGAAAGAAACGUUCCGGGUUAAUACCCCGGGAAACUGACGGUACCUGCAGAAUAAGCACCGGCUAACUACGUGCCAGCAGCCGCGGUAAUACGUAGGGUGCAAGCGUUAAUCGGAAUUACUGGGCGUAAAGCGUGCGCAGGCGGUUCGGAAAGAAAGAUGUGAAAUCCCAGAGCUUAACUUUGGAACUGCAUUUUUAACUACCGAGCUAGAGUGUGUCAGAGGGAGGUGGAAUUCCGCGUGUAGCAGUGAAAUGCGUAGAUAUGCGGAGGAACACCGAUGGCGAAGGCAGCCUCCUGGGAUAACACUGACGCUCAUGCACGAA